CUGAAAAACGGCCCAAAUUUGUGAUUGAUUCCACACCCUGCCUUUCACAGUGUUUGCUUUUCAACAUUUAAGAACGCUUUUAAUUUAAAUGUAGUACAUUUUUAAUGUAAUCAUUAUUAAAGUCCAUUUUAUUAUGUAUUCCUAUAUUUAGAUACGUUUAUACUUUUUCCUAUUCCUUUUCGAAUGUUUAAAUGGUCAGGAAUGCUUCCCAAAAAAUAUUUACCUUUGUGUUGAUGAUGUUGUUUGGCUACUUAAAGUUACUGUAAAUAACUUCCAGUGCGCCUCGACCUCACAAUGGUGUCCAAAUUCAUGAAGUCUUGGAAUAGAGCCUUGAAAUCUGAUUUUUGUUUCCAACGAGCAAAAGCUGCUUCAGAUGUCACUUUUGUCGCCUAUAUGACCCUGCUCUUCUUCUCAGCCGUUUUUCUACACGUCUCUUCUACCAGCGGACGACAUUGCUGCCAUCUUGCAAUGGUCCGUUUGACAAUAUACGGUUUUACUCUUUCGGAAACACUCCAAAUUGGAUGAAAUUUGAGUUUUGGGAAGUUCCAUGACACCAAUUUGAGAAGUCAGGGCUACUUUGACUUCAUGCUGACAUCUUCCAGUGAGAAACCAACAGAACAGAAGUUUAAAGCUCGAGGAUUAUCAAAAGACACACACAGAAAGCGGGUCAUCAAUUACACAUCCCAACCAGGGCAGACUCGGGUUUUUUUGAACAUACUGGCAGUGUUAAGAGAGCAUAGGCGGUACAAAACAAAGUGUCAAGCAGUCCUUUCAUCCCCUGCACUCAACAUGUCAUGACAAAACAAAACGGCUCCUUUUCCCUCAUGCCAUCACGUACGCACUCACCAAUGGAGCAAACACGGUCGGAGAUCGUGAUGAUGAGGGGAAGUUGAGAAGAGCAGGAGCAAUUUUGCCUCUAGAGAUCCUUUUGCAGGACAUCCGGAGUUUUACUCCAAACAAUUUUUGUUGCUGUUGUUUCACUCGGGAGGAAGUACAAAGUAAUAUAAGGGCCACCCAGAAAAGAGAAGAAAGCUUCAGGAUUAAAGUCCUAACUUUUGAUGAGAGCAAAGUUGUAUAUUUAUGAUAAAUUCAUACGUUUUCAUGAGAAUAAGGAGAAUAAAGUUGGAGAAUUUCGGGGGGAAAAAAAUACAUUCAAAAUUCAAAUCAUCAUUUGACGAGAAUGAAGACCUAUUUUCGAGAUUAAAGUUGUGUGUUCGAGAUCAAAAAUAAUUGGAGCAAUUCAGAAAGUGUACAUUUUUUGACAAAGUUAUACAUUUUCAUGAAUUGAAACAAUUGAACAAUUGACUGGUUAGCACAUCUGCCGCACAUUAGAGAGGCAUCUGUCUGUCUAUCUCUCGCUCUGUUUCUGUUUGUUUGUUUGUGAAUUGUUCUCAGUGAGUACCCAAAAUGCUGACCAUCCCUCUCACAUUUUGAAAAAAUUAAAAUACAACAGGAAUGAGAUCAUCUCUAAAUUGAGUUCGGCCCAAAUGUUAGUUUUUUUUUUUGUUUGUUUUUUAACAUUGAACUGAGUGCAUUGCGGGUUGCGUGACCUCAACACCUGAACGUGAACGCUUUAAUCCAAGGGUGUCAAACCCAUUUUUCUCGUGGGCCACUUUGCAGUUACAUCUUCCAUCGGAGGGCCAUUACAACAGUGAAACCGAAAUAAUGUUUAAUCAUCACAUCGUAUAAUUACUUGUACGUAACAAAUACAAUUGACAGAUUACUAGUUUUGAAAUAAUUCAAUUGUUGGUUCAAUUAUUGUCCAAGUGAGUGUAAAAAGGGUAAAAAAAAAUAUUAUUGCAAAUUCUCAAUGUUAUUUAUUACACGUGACAAUUUGACAUUUCGGUCCAGAUUUGAGCAAGGAUCAGGGAAGUUGUAACAUGUGAUUAGCUUUCGCGGGCCACAUAAAAAGACUCGGCGGUCCGGAUCUGGCCUCCGGGCCUUGAUUUUGACACCUGUGCAGACAUUGGAUACAAACUUAAAAACGGUCAGUAAACAUGGCUUCGAAAAAAAAA
Long non-coding RNA from Hippocampus comes (tiger tail seahorse), 2015 nucleotides. RefSeq lists it as uncharacterized. The transcript is spliced from 2 exons. The record is from RefSeq and is a predicted model, not a curated record. NCBI's taxonomy places the organism in Eukaryota, Metazoa, Chordata, Actinopteri, Syngnathiformes, Syngnathidae.